This 541-nucleotide ribosomal RNA is filed under the name uncultured bacterium. RNAcentral describes it as "bacterial SSU rRNA". It matches the Rfam family "Bacterial small subunit ribosomal RNA", at positions 119 to 674 of the family's 1533-position model. The record is from RNAcentral.
GGGUGAUCUGCCCUGCACUUCGGGAUAAGCCUGGGAAACUGGGUCUAAUACCGGAUAUGACCUCAGGUUGCAUGACUUGGGGUGGAAAGAUUUAUCGGUGCAGGAUGGGCCCGCGGCCUAUCAGCUUGUUGGUGGGGUAAUGGCCUACCAAGGCGACGACGGGUAGCCGACCUGAGAGGGUGACCGGCCACACUGGGACUGAGACACGGCCCAGACUCCUACGGGAGGCAGCAGUGGGGAAUAUUGCACAAUGGGCGAAAGCCUGAUGCAGCGACGCCGCGUGAGGGAUGACGGCCUUCGGGUUGUAAACCUCUUUCAGCAGGGACGAAGCGCAAGUGACGGUACCUGCAGAAGAAGCACCGGCUAACUACGUGCCAGCAGCCGCGGUAAUACGUAGGGUGCAAGCGUUGUCCGGAAUUACUGGGCGUAAAGAGUUCGUAGGCGGUUUGUCGCGUCGUUUGUGAAAACCAGCAGCUCAACUGCUGGCUUGCAGGCGAUACGGGCAGACUUGAGUACUGCAGGGGAGACUGGAAUUCCUGGU